RNAcentral lists this unclassified non-coding RNA (248 nucleotides) under Hevea brasiliensis (rubber tree). Lineage: Eukaryota; Viridiplantae; Streptophyta; Magnoliopsida; Malpighiales; Euphorbiaceae. The record is from RNAcentral.
GGAUAUUUAAGUUGAAUGCCAAACCUAAUAUCAAUAGUAUAGUCAAUCUCCCACGAUAAAAUGAAAAUAAAAUACUGUGUAGUUUGUAAGACACUUAAAAUUCUUUAACAUGUGAAUAGUCCUAAAAGCAGAAAGUAGGGAGAAGACAGCAUACAACAAUUCAGGGGAGAAGCUAAAUGGAUUAUAUGACCAUGACACUAAAGUUUCAAGAAACCAAGUUACCUACGUUUGAAUUAGGUGCUCCAAAU